This 776-nucleotide ribosomal RNA is filed under the name uncultured Neocallimastigales. RNAcentral's name for it is "partial large subunit ribosomal RNA". It matches the Rfam family "Eukaryotic large subunit ribosomal RNA", at positions 26 to 616 of the family's 3401-position model. Lineage: Eukaryota; Fungi; Neocallimastigomycota; Neocallimastigomycetes; Neocallimastigales. The record is from RNAcentral.
CGCAUCUGUGCAUGCAGCAUAUCAAUAAGCGGAGGAAAAGAAACUAACAAGGAUUCCCCUAGUAAACGGCGAGUGAAGCGGGAAGAGCUCAAAUUUGAAAUCUUAAAGGGUUUCCCUUUACGAAUUGUAGUUUAAAGAAGUGUUUUCUGUUAGAUGAGUAGCAAAAGUUCCUUGGAAUGGGACAUCAUAGAGGGUGAGAAUCCCGUAUUUGGUUAUUCAUUCUAGCUUUGUGAUACACUUUCAAAGAGUCGGAUUGUUUGGGAAUGCAGUCCAAAAUGGGUGGUAAAUUUCAUCUAAAGCUAAAUAUUGGCGAGAGACCGAUAGCGAACAAGUACCGUGAGGGAAAGAUGAAAAGAACUUUGAAAAGAGAGUUAAACAGUACGUGAAAUUGUCAAAAGGGAAGCGUUUGACACCAGUGUUGUUUUUCUGAAAAUCAAUUAAAGAACUGUUUAUGCUAAGUUGUUUAGACUUUAUCAGCUAACUGUUUAGUUUUGAGCUUUUCUUUAAUGCACUUUUCAGUUAACAAGUCAACAUCAAUUUCUUUUGCUGUAAAAAAAGCUUGAGGAAGGUGGCUUGAGAUUCGUCUUAAGUGUUUAUAGCCUCUUGCCUAUGCAGUCGGAGAGAUUGAGGUCUGCAGCGUAGAUCCUUCGGGGCUAAAUGCAUUUGUGCUAAGUUAUAGCAUUUUAUAGACAACUUGUUGACUAUGAUUUGUCUUGUAGCUUACUCGCUUAUGUUAUUUUACCUACGCUUAGGAUGUUGAGCGCAUGUCUCUCUCU